This 461-nucleotide long non-coding RNA is filed under the name Salvia miltiorrhiza (redroot sage). RNAcentral describes it as "long non-coding RNA (SMIL_LNC005739)". Lineage: Eukaryota; Viridiplantae; Streptophyta; Magnoliopsida; Lamiales; Lamiaceae. The record is from RNAcentral.
GACAUAUCAACCUGAACAUCCUCUAUACAAUUGUGACAGACGAACACAUAGACGCAGCUGAUACACACAUGGAGGAACACACGCUUGUGUGCGAAAGAGUAGUGAGAGAUAGAGAGAAAAUAAAUGCAGAGGCGAGAGAGAGAGAGAGGUGGCUUGCACGAGGACUCAGCAGUGAAGCAAAUUUAUGGUGGAUUUGUUGAUAUCUUAAUCAAAAUCAAAUUUUGGAAUCGGGAUACAAAAUGGUUGAUUUCUGACUUUUUACUUUUACAUCUUUUUUAUUUUUGUUUAACUAAGUCGGCCGUNGUAGUAGAGAGAAGUAGAGAAAGAAAAUAAAGUGACGAGAGGAGAGUAGAGAGAGAGAGAGAGAGAGGUGGCUUCCACGAGGACUCAGCAGUGAAGCAAAUUUAUGGUGGAUUUGUUGAUGGCUUAAUCAAAUUUUGGAAUCGGGAUACAAAAUGAUU